Molecule: ribosomal RNA, 433 nt
Filed under: uncultured bacterium
Lineage: Bacteria
Description: partial 16S ribosomal RNA
Rfam family: Bacterial small subunit ribosomal RNA
Source: RNAcentral
AACGAACGCUGGCGGCAUGCCUAACACAUGCAAGUCGAACGAGACCUCCGGGUCUAGUGGCGCACGGGUGCGUAACGCGUGGGAACCUGCCCUUAGGUUCGGAAUAACUCCCCGAAAGGGGUGCUAAUACCGGAUAAUGUCUUCGGACCAAAGAUUUAUCGCCCUUGGAUGGGCCCGCGUUGGAUUAGCUAGUUGGUAGGGUAAAAGCCUACCAAGGCGACGAUCCAUAGCUGGUCUGAGAGGAUGAUCAGCCACACUGGGACUGAGACACGGCCCAGACUCCUACGGGAGGCAGCAGUGGGGAAUAUUGGACAAUGGGCGAAGGCCUGAUCCAGCAAUGCCGCGUGAGUGAUGAAGGCCUUAGGGUUGUAAAGCUCUUUUACCCGGGAUGAUAAUGACAGUACCGGGAGAAUAAGCUCCGGCUAACUCCGUG